This 479-nucleotide ribosomal RNA is filed under the name uncultured Roseivirga sp. RNAcentral describes it as "bacterial SSU rRNA". It matches the Rfam family "Bacterial small subunit ribosomal RNA", at positions 28 to 505 of the family's 1533-position model. The record is from RNAcentral. Lineage: Bacteria; Pseudomonadati; Bacteroidota; Cytophagia; Cytophagales; Roseivirgaceae.
GAUGAACGCUAGCGGCAGGCCUAAUACAUGCAAGUCGAACGGUAGACUUAACUUCGGUUGAGUUGAGAGUGGCGCACGGGUGCGUAACGCGUAUGCAACCUACCCUUAACAGGGGGAUAGCCCGGAGAAAUUCGGAUUAAUACCCCAUAGUAUCAUUAGAUGGCAUCUGAAGAUGAUUAAAGAUUUAUCGGUUAAGGAUGGGCAUGCGUAACAUUAGAUAGUUGGUGAGGUAACGGCUCACCAAGUCCACGAUGUUUAGGGGUUCUGAGAGGAUGAUCCCCCACACUGGUACUGAGAUACGGACCAGACUCCUACGGGAGGCAGCAGUAGGGAAUAUUGGUCAAUGGGCGAGAGCCUGAACCAGCCAUGCCGCGUGCAGGAAGACGGCCUUCUGGGUUGUAAACUGCUUUUAUAUGGGAAGAAAAAGCCCUUGCGAGGGAAAUUGCCGGUACCAUAUGAAUAAGCACCGGCUAACUCCG